Molecule: transfer RNA, 73 nt
Filed under: Bos taurus (domestic cattle)
Lineage: Eukaryota; Metazoa; Chordata; Mammalia; Artiodactyla; Bovidae
Also listed under: 2 other names
Rfam family: tRNA
About the family: Transfer RNA (tRNA) molecules are approximately 80 nucleotides in length.
Source: Rfam by way of RNAcentral
UCCCUGGUGGCUCAGACAGUAAAGCAUCUGCCUACAAUGCAGGCAACCCAGGGUUCGAUCCCUGGGCUGGGAA